RNAcentral lists this long non-coding RNA (666 nucleotides) under Scleropages formosus (Asian bonytongue). Its description in RNAcentral is "lncRNA (ENSSFOG00015031128.1)". Lineage: Eukaryota; Metazoa; Chordata; Actinopteri; Osteoglossiformes; Osteoglossidae. The record is from RNAcentral.
CAGUUUAAUCGAGUGCAGACUUUCUCUCAACCUGCGAUCAUGCGCAACCCCUAUUUGACAAGAACCGACAACUGACCAGCCUCCUGGAGACACGUUGCCAUGGUGAUCGGAAAACCUGUGGUCAGCAGGACACCUCCGCCUGAGGGCUUAUUUCCUACAGCACCCAUUAGAUACCAUCAGCGGAGGAAACGGGACACACACUGCGUGUUUUUGUGGACAGCCAGAUUUUCUCUCAACUCUGCGAUCAUGCGCGUGACUCCCGUGUGACAAGAACCGAGAACUGACCAGCUGCCCGGACACGCGUUGCCAUGGUGAUUGGAAACCCUGCAUGACGUCAAUAGGACGCCUCCCUCUGAGGUCUUAUAGCCGAGUGCUGCUGGUUGAGGUGCGGGCAUGGUUGUGUGACAACUACAGGUAUUCAUAAUUAGUAGAGAGAGAAAGAGAAGUAGUGUGUAUGGAUAUUACAGUGCUAGAUACACCAAAGUACACUACCUACAGUAAGUCACUCAUCUAAACAUCAGAGAAACACACUAUGGGCAAUUUAGAGGCACCCAUAGACUUGAAAAGAAUGUCUUUGGACUGUGGGAGGAAACCUGUAGGAAGUUUUUUUUAUUACAAUCAGAACUUAGAACUCUGAUUAAAACUGGCAUGCUUGACAUCAUAAUC